CUCGAGCCGUAUAGUCUUCUCAACUUUUUCUACUUCACCUACAUGUGGUUUUCCACAAGAUGAGCACAUUGUGUUUGCAAAGGUUACGUUCCGGCCAGAUAGAUUGAGAAAGUGCAGGUUUGAUCGGGAGGUUAGGUAUAUGCAUGUUCAGGUCAAUCGCAUUGCCAACUUCUACCUGUGCAUGUCGCCAGAUGAGCUGUGUGCUAGCUACGUGUUGGAUUGGGUUUGGAAGAAAUCAAGGAGCGAGCCAGCCUGCUGGGCCGCUGCUCAUGGGCGACACUGCAGGUCAGUACAACCAUGUUCUUUCAGUUAAAGCUUUGGAUUUCAUAGCCGCUUCUCUAGAAGCUAAACUGCAGGUAUCCAUCCGAUUGAUCUAUGGCACUGGGAAUUUGAGUUGCGUCCAAUGCAUCUAGGGAUUGGUGGGCAGGGGAGGUUGCGAUGAGCUGCAAGGAGAAGAUGUUCUUGACAAACAUGGCGGCGAGGGCGCCUGAGUUGGACUGGUAGGUGUCGUUGGCCGUUUAGUUUUUAGUUUUCGCAUUACAACCGAGCUUCACUGUGUUCUAUUCUUGAUGAUUUUCCUUACAAAUCAUUGGUAUGCACUAAAACAUUUUUGUUGUAAUUGAUGGUUUGAAAUUUUUACCAGUCUGAUUAUAUGUAGACUAUUUUCUAAAAUGAGUUUGGACAUGGAGUCAAUGAUGAUCUGUAACGCUCUAUGGACUACAUUAUAUUUUUUUCAUGUGCCA
Triticum dicoccoides is the source of this 743-nucleotide long non-coding RNA. RefSeq lists it as uncharacterized. The record is from RefSeq and is a predicted model, not a curated record. The transcript is spliced from 3 exons. Lineage: Eukaryota; Viridiplantae; Streptophyta; Magnoliopsida; Poales; Poaceae.